GCCUGGGUGGCUCAGUCGGUUAAGCAUCUGCCUUCAGCUCAGGUCAUGAUCUCAGGGUCUUGGGAUCAAGCCCCACUCAGGCA
Molecule: transfer RNA, 83 nt
Filed under: Ailuropoda melanoleuca (giant panda)
Lineage: Eukaryota; Metazoa; Chordata; Mammalia; Carnivora; Ursidae
Rfam family: tRNA
About the family: Transfer RNA (tRNA) molecules are approximately 80 nucleotides in length. Their secondary structure includes four short double-helical elements and three loops (D, anti-codon, and T loops). Further hydrogen bonds mediate the characteristic L-shaped molecular structure. tRNAs have two regions of fundamental functional importance: the anti-codon, which is responsible for specific mRNA codon recognition, and the 3' end, to which the tRNAs corresponding amino acid is attached (by aminoacyl-tRNA synthetases). tRNAs cope with the degeneracy of the genetic code in two manners: having more than one tRNA (with a specific anti-codon) for a particular amino acid; and 'wobble' base-pairing, i.e. permitting non-standard base-pairing at the 3rd anti-codon position.
Source: Rfam by way of RNAcentral